Taeniopygia guttata (zebra finch) is the source of this 977-nucleotide non-coding RNA. The record is from RefSeq and is a predicted model, not a curated record. Lineage: Eukaryota; Metazoa; Chordata; Aves; Passeriformes; Estrildidae.
AUAAACACACAUGCACACGCAUACACACGUAUUCUGUCCGUGCUUCGGCGGGGGGGGUGGGGGUCGCAGCUUUGUAGCUUUUGUAGAGCCACAAGACACAGACUUUCAGGAUAAGAAGGAUUAAAAACUAGGUAAAAGAAAGUAGCGGUUUGCACGGAAAGGCCGUUGCGGGAAAAGGAAGCGAGAAGAUGUGAUAGGCAGAUUAAAAUGCAUGAAGAGCACGUCUCGUGAGGGUUUUGAAGCUUUUCAAGUUGUUACACAGAACACGGCAAGAAGUUUUUAAAAAUGAUCACAAAGCCCUCGAAGCUGCAAGACAAAAGAUAAAUGAAGAAUUCAGAAAUAACCAAGACGAGACAUCUGAAGAGAAGAUUAAUGAGCUUCUUAAAAUAGCUUCAGAUGUUGAAGUGAUUCUCAGAACUUCUGUUAUUCAGGCGGUUCACACAGAUUCUGACAAAAUAGUACUCGUACCCAGGAAAGAUCUGCUACAGGACAACAUUCCUUACUUAGAUAAACCAACAAAAAAGCAAGAAUCCUGAGGAAAUACUGCUACCAGGAAAAAAGAGACUGAAAUCAAUUCACUGAUUUUAUUGAGUGCUGGAGUAUCAUCAUGCACUUAUUCAGUGGAAGAUAGUUAAUAUUUUCACAGAACCUAAAAGUACACUUACUAAUUGUGUUACUUCAGCCAGGAAUGUUUCUGAUUAUGACAGCUCUCAGACAGAGAUUGUUUCCUAGCAAUGCAGAGUUUUUCAAAACUAAAAAUUAUAAAAAUUAAAUUGAGUCCUUAAUACUGAUAAUAUUUAUUGUCAAUCAUAAGCUUUUUUGAAGUAAUGAAAAACCAUCUUGUGGCAUUUAAUGUUGAAUUUAUGCUUUGCACCAAAAGCAUGAUUUCUGAAGUUGUCAUUAAUUGUACACUAGUAUACUGUGAUGCUUGAGAGGGUUCUUAAAGGUUUAUCUGAAUAAAUUAUUUGUGUUUUACA